RNA transcript from Erpetoichthys calabaricus (reedfish), 1818 nucleotides. It is a transcript of the gene named transmembrane protein 272-like, with no coding region annotated. NCBI's taxonomy places the organism in Eukaryota, Metazoa, Chordata, Cladistia, Polypteriformes, Polypteridae. The record is from RefSeq and is a predicted model, not a curated record. The transcript has 7 exons.
ACACCAUCGCCACCCCUUUGCGAACGGGAAAAGGAAGAAGUACCGAGCUGGCCGAGUUUAUUUAGAACCGAGCCUUACUAGGCGCCUUGACAUCUCCCUGGACGAGCAGUUUCUUAUUCAUAGACUUGACAGGUCGGUGCAGGCGGCGAACAUUGAGAGGGGUCUCAGAAAAGGAAUGAUAACACCCAGCAGGAGGACUAAGGAGUGGCCCAGAUAAACUUUAACUUGAUUACAACUGUUUCUUGGUUGCUGCACUCUUUGUCACAACUACUUAGAGACAGCUGAAGAAUUACACACACGUUGACAUCAUGGAAGAAAACCGAAAUCUUCUACACAGGUUACCCCAGACUCCUAAAGUGCACCCAGCUGGAUCAUGGCUGUGCAGAAUGAUAAUGUGUGCUCUGCCAGUGGCUCAGAUCACCAUAGGUUCAAUCUACUUGAAUUCCUGCCCUGUGCAGCAUUAUAUCCCCAUCUACUUGAUUGUGUCAGGAGUGUUUUCUCUAGUAAUGGAUCUCCUGUCUUUCUUCCACCUUGGCAAUGAAGCAGAGGAAGUUGACUCCAAUGCAAGGGGAGGUUCCACCCUGGGAAAUGGGCUGCUGUCUCUGUUCAUGUUUUGCUGGUUCAUUACAGGUAACGUUUGGAUUUACUCCAUCUACCAGCCGAACUAUGAUGAACAAAGUGGUGUUCUUUACUGCAAUAAGACACUCUACUUGUUUGCAUUUUGGAGCACAACAGUGGUCUACAUUGGACUUGGUAUACUCCUGCUGGUGGGCUGUUGCUUUCUGCUAUGUGCAUGUAUUAUAGGGGUUAAUCAACCCAAUUCAGAUGAUUUGGAAGAAGGUCAGAACUGAAUUACUCCUUAGCUGUAACCAGACAGUGUAUUUGUGGCUGCAAAGAAGAGCAUUAUGUUUUACUGUAUUUUGUAUUUCUUUGGUUUAAAAUUGCACUAGGUUGACAAUAAGUUAGUAGUUGGAAUCCACACCCUGGAGAAGAUACCAUUCCGUCACUUUGUUUUAUAUUUUAUUCUAUUCUUCUUCUUGUUGAUUUUGCAAAAUAUGUAAUCUUAGAAAUGGUAUUUCCUACCAAAUAGUGGUCACACUGGUGUUAAAAAGAAAAAAGAGGCAAGAGGCGACUGGUGGUUAGCUAUUUAAAUGGCUUCCACUGUCUUUUUGUUUUGGUAUGGUAUCCAAGCCUCAUGGCCUUAGUAUGUCAUAGACUGCUGUUAUGUUACACAUUAAAAAGUGGUCUAGAAAAGAAAAAAAAUCAAAGUUUUUGUAUUCCUGAUUCUGUAGAUUUUACUUAGUUACAUUCUAAUGCUAGGUCAGCAGAUAUAGAAGCCUUGCUGUCCCCAUUAAAGUUGAGGAGCUUUGGUGUAAAUUAGAAAGUGAAAACACUUGUCCAGUAUAACUUACUUUGGUGGCAUUCAGAUAACUCCAACUGAGAAGAUAGUAAUGUCCUACAAGUCUCCUCUUAAACGAUACAUGCAAGUAUACUAAAUGGGAUGCCACUCAUGUCACCUCUGGGUUUAUCAUGGAAACUUAAUUUUUGCUGAGAUGUGCGUGUUGUUUUCAGGGACUUUGAAGAGAACAGCACAUGGUAUAGAUAAAGGCUGAAUGAAUUCAAUGUGAUUGUGUGCUUUUUAUGUCUGCUUUUUACUCUUUAACAUGCCAGGUGGACUUUGAAUGAUGAGGUAAUUCACUGGAGCCACAUAGCAUGCUGGAUAGUCACCGUUACUUUCGGGAAAUGUUUGGAAAUUACAGAAAUAUUCAUAAAAGUUUCAAUCCCUUGAUAUUAAUAAAAAGCAGAUGUUUUCCAGGA